Long non-coding RNA from Motacilla alba alba, 1496 nucleotides. RefSeq lists it as uncharacterized. The transcript is spliced from 3 exons. Lineage: Eukaryota; Metazoa; Chordata; Aves; Passeriformes; Motacillidae. The record is from RefSeq and is a predicted model, not a curated record.
CUCUGCACAAGGACACGACCUACUGUAAGAGAGGUUCUAAAAUGUCAAUUAUUCCAGCUACUCUAUUACCGUACCUGAGACUGCACUGCCAUGGUGUCUUUGAGAGGAAGGACAAUCUUCAUCAAUGAUCACCCAGCUUCUUCCUGGAGUGAGCUAUCUUACUGGAGGAAGAAUGGGCUGAAGGAGCUCUUCUUCACCUAGCUGCUGUUGACAUGUCUGGCCACACAUGUUUUGGACUGGACCUGAUGGUUUAGUGACCUCAACUCAACAUGAAAAAUCUAAACUGUGGCUUUUCAGGAUAUACUUGUACUGGAGCAACAAACAUUUUGGUUUUGUUCAGGAAUGGCAUAGGGCCUUCAGAUGCUGAAGAGAUCAUCACUGUCCUGGAAUCAGUGAAAGGAAAUCUUCUCCCACAGCAUCCUGGGUCUAAGUUCAAAUCACUGAUGAAGCUCCUGCAGUAUAAUACUGGGCUUUGCCUGAGGCACUGUGUGUGUGCACCUCUGCCAGCCCUGCAAGGGGACAGCCAGAUGGGUAAAGGGUGGUGAAUCACCAGAAGGUUGAGGAUCAAGAGGUGCUGUUCAUCCCAGACAUGGUACCUGUGAGGAAUCUACCUUGUCCUCAAGGUAGCUCCAGUUUCUCAUGGUAUCUGCUUUGAUUUCUUAUUGUUAUUGCAAAAAGCAAGGAAUCAACUUUACGUCUACUCUUCCUGUUCUCUUGCUUUCAUGCCUGGGGCUCUUCUAGCAGUAACUCCCUGUGUGCAGUUUCCAGCAUUCAAAGAAUAAAUUGCACUCCUGCACAUGAUGUGAAAUUUCUCUCUCAAGCACCUUUUUGCUAUGCUUCUUCCUAAAAUUUUCACUUGCUAGAAUAGCAGAUGGCCUGGGUACAUAAAUUUUAUUAUACAAAACAGAAGAGGGACUGUAGCAGCUGAGGUCAUGCAGGACUCAUGCUUCUGUAAAUGGCCCAGUGAUGUCUUUAAAAUAGGAAGAGAAAAGGUCUGGCUUGUACUGAGAAAGCUGAGACAGUCGCCAGGUUUAGGUGUAACUUGCACCAUGAGGUGUAGCAUACAGUGAUCUUACGUGACCAUGUUUUAUGCCUGCUCUGAUUCUUCUCUGUUAAUAAUGGAAGAAGGAGCUGCCAGAGGAGAAAGGACAACUUGUACUUUUAUCUCAGCUCUAUUGGCAAUUUCUUUGUGUGUAACUCUGCUUUCUUUUCUCUUUUCAAGUCCUUUUUCUUUUCUACUGGGUUGUUUUUGAUAUAUAAGAAAAGAAAAUGUAUACGUUCUCUUCCCCAUUAUGAGCACCCCAGUUGCCAUCUCUGUGUUUGUGUGCACCAAUGUGAGUGUUGUGUUGUGUUCAAGGACUGUUAAAUGUCACAUAACUGAACCAGAGCAUUUCAGUCACGUGACACUGAAGAGCUCCACUCAUGCUUAGCACGUGCCUUUCCUGAGCUCAAACCAGAUGUUUCCCUUGACAGAUCCCCCCUCUGGAUUGCUGAAA